Molecule: ribosomal RNA, 497 nt
Filed under: uncultured bacterium
Lineage: Bacteria
Description: partial 16S ribosomal RNA
Rfam family: Bacterial small subunit ribosomal RNA
Source: RNAcentral
GAUGAACGCUGGCGGCGUGCCUAAUACAUGCAAGUCGAGCGAACAGACGAGGAGCUUGCUCCUCUGACGUUAGCGGCGGACGGGUGAGUAACACGUGGAUAACCUACCUAUAAGACUGGGAUAACUUCGGGAAACCGGAGCUAAUACCGGAUAAUAUAUUGAACCGCAUGGUUCAAUAGUGAAAGACGGUUUUGCUGUCACUUAUAGAUGGAUCCGCGCCGCAUUAGCUAGUUGGUAAGGUAACGGCUUACCAAGGCAACGAUGCGUAGCCGACCUGAGAGGGUGAUCGGCCACACUGGAACUGAGACACGGUCCAGACUCCUACGGGAGGCAGCAGUAGGGAAUCUUCCGCAAUGUGCGAAAGCCUGACGGAGCAACGCCGCGUGAGUGAUGAAGGUCGUCGGAUCGUAAAACUCUGUUAUUAGGGAAGAACAAAUGUGUAAGUAACUAUGCACGUCUUGACGGUACCUAAUCAGAAAGCCACGGCUAACUACGUG